GGGCGCUUAGCUCAGCUGGCUAGAGCGCGGUCCUGAUAAGACCGAGGCCCAUGGUUCGAGCCCAUGAGCGCCCA
RNAcentral lists this transfer RNA (74 nucleotides) under Candidatus Beckwithbacteria bacterium CG23_combo_of_CG06-09_8_20_14_all_47_9. Its description in RNAcentral is "tRNA-Ile". Lineage: Bacteria; Candidatus Beckwithiibacteriota. The record is from RNAcentral.